CCUACGGGUGGCUGCAGUGGGGAAUAUUGCACAAUGGGCGCAAGCCUGAUGCAGCCAUGCCGCGUGUGUGAAGAAGGCCUUCGGGUUGUAAAGCACUUUCAGCGGGGAGGAAGGCGGUGAGGUUAAUAACCUCAUCGAUUGACGUUACCCGCAGAAGAAGCAUCGGCUAACUCCGUGCCAGCAGCCGCGGUAAUACGGAGGGUGCAAGCGUUAAUCGGAAUUACUGGGCGUAAAGCGCACGCAGGCGGUCUGUCAAGUCGGAUGUGAAAUCCCCGGGCUCAACCUGGGAACUGCAUUCGGAACUGGCAGGCUAGAGUCUUGUAGGGGGGGGUAGAAUUCCAGGUGUAGCGGUGAAAUGCGUAGAGAUCUGGAGGAAUACCGGUGGCGAAGGCGGCCCCCUGGACAAAGACUGACGGUCAGGUGCGAAAGCGUGGGGAGCAAACAGGAUUAGAUACCCGGGUAGUC
RNAcentral lists this ribosomal RNA (465 nucleotides) under uncultured Klebsiella sp. RNAcentral describes it as "bacterial SSU rRNA". It matches the Rfam family "Bacterial small subunit ribosomal RNA", at positions 338 to 795 of the family's 1533-position model. Lineage: Bacteria; Pseudomonadati; Pseudomonadota; Gammaproteobacteria; Enterobacterales; Enterobacteriaceae. The record is from RNAcentral.